AGUGCAACAGAAAGUAAACCGCCCCUGUUGGGUAAGGGUGAAACGGUGGUGUAAGAGACCACCAGCGUUGCUGGUGACAGCAACGGCUUGGUAAACCCCAUCCGGUGCAAAACCAAGUAGGGUGCCAACUCGUGGCCCGCGAGACGCACCCGGGUUGGUUGCUAGAGUCCUGCAGCAAUGCAGUCUGACCUAGAUGGAUGACCGUUACCGUGGGCUUGGCAACGAGCCCACGGCACAGGAUCCGGCUUAUCGCCGGUCCAUCCCA
RNAcentral lists this RNase P RNA (265 nucleotides) under Auritidibacter sp. NML120779. RNAcentral's name for it is "partial RNase P RNA component class A". It matches the Rfam family "Bacterial RNase P class A", at positions 108 to 367 of the family's 367-position model. Rfam says of the family: Ribonuclease P (RNase P) is a ubiquitous endoribonuclease, found in archaea, bacteria and eukarya as well as chloroplasts and mitochondria. Its best characterised activity is the generation of mature 5'-ends of tRNAs by cleaving the 5'-leader elements of precursor-tRNAs. Lineage: Bacteria; Bacillati; Actinomycetota; Actinomycetes; Micrococcales; Micrococcaceae. The record is from RNAcentral.